ACAUGAACUGCACGAUAAGCAGGUCACCUGAUGUGCGGAUAACAGUGUUUUGAUGAAUAUGAGACACGGUAGUGUCCCGAAAACAGUUCUUGCUUAGUCAGUAUGUACGUAAUUCCAAGUAGAGUUGUUGAGUAGCUAGAAUCGAUUAGAUCUAGUUAGGCCUACGUAGGGUUACGUAGUUCAGGCUACUUUGAUAUAAAGGUAAAGAAGAACGCCCUAUUUCUAAAGCACCAUUCCACAAAUUCGCUUGAUCUGCCCGACAAAACUUUAAUCUAGGAGCGAAAGAUGUCACAGACUUACCGUGGUCAAGCUCGUCCAAGGAGAGACCCUCCACAAGAUGGUAAUGUAAGCAAUGAUGGGAGGAUUAAACGUAUCUUCCAGAAUACUUGUGGUUGCAUCCACAAAGAUGUGUGGAAGUAUACUCAGGAAUACCAAUGUGGUGACAGGAUAUUUCUUUGUAAGGAGUGCAGCCGCAUCCAUGGAGAGAGAUGCCCUUUUCAUAAGAUGGCACGUAGAGACCGUGUGGGCGAUAUCUGAGGAGAGUAAAUAGAUCUAGAUAAAGAACAUGCAUGGAAAGAUAGAUAAGCUGAUUAUAAUAAUGUAUCAUCAUGUACAUGUAGUUAUUUGAAAUAAAGUAAAUUUGGCAAAAUAA
Long non-coding RNA from Halichondria panicea, 652 nucleotides. RefSeq lists it as uncharacterized. The record is from RefSeq and is a predicted model, not a curated record. The transcript has 2 exons. NCBI's taxonomy places the organism in Eukaryota, Metazoa, Porifera, Demospongiae, Suberitida, Halichondriidae.